Molecule: long non-coding RNA, 820 nt
Organism: Populus trichocarpa (black cottonwood)
Lineage: Eukaryota; Viridiplantae; Streptophyta; Magnoliopsida; Malpighiales; Salicaceae
Exons: 2
Source: RefSeq, a predicted model, not a curated record
UAGAAGACAAUAUCUCUCAGAAAAAUCAGUCAAAAGUAACGGAUUUGAAACUCCAUCUUCAAAUUCAAUAAAUGGAAGAACAAAUGACAUCAACAUCUGUGCCGUUGAUUACUUAUAAUUUUCAUGGAAAAUCCUCACUUUAUGGCCAAGAAUCCUUUCAAAGUUCUACAUUUUGGUGACCUUUUCACCUUAUCUUAAAGAAAAGAGAAACAGAAGAGGAGAUUGGUUUGUGGGUCUGACAUGUUCAUCGACACCGAUUCGCCUCGUUCUCUGCUGAUAUGUAGGGCUAAACGUGUAGAGGUAGAGCUGUAAAAUCAAAAUUGAAAGAGAGAUUGAAUCUUAUGCUCAACAACAGUUCUUAUGGUCAUCCAUCAUGAUUGAAUAACAAUCCCUUCCCUGUCUUGUGUGAACUCCAUGAUUGUUUUUAUGUGGUCACGUUUGUGAAUGUAGUAGAAAAAUCCACACAUAUGCUGAUAUGGUCUGUAGACUUGAGGAAUAUUUCGGCUUCUGCAAGGCACUCUGCUUCAUGGAAAUUGCUCUGAGAUUUCAAAGAUAACGGUGCAACCUUCGUUCUUUGGAUUCUUGCUUUCUCAUACUUGUGGGAAACUUCUUGUAAUGGUGGAACUCCAUUGUGCUUGGUUCUUACAGAAAAAUUGUGGAUGGAUACUGUGCAGAGACACUUUUUUUGCCAUAUUUUUUUGGUGGUGGGCGAGUAUGAAAUUGGGAAACCAUUAGCAAGAUAUAGCAGACAUUCUCCGGGAUUGUUUCUUGAUAUAACUUGGGAAAAUAAUGCACACUUGUUUCAAUUUAGUUAAUUUUG